UGAAAACACAACAAUUCAAAAUCUAUGGGACACAGUGAAAGCAGUCCUGAGAGGUAAGUUCAUAGCUCUACCAGCCUACCUCAAAAAACAACAA
Long non-coding RNA from Myotis davidii, 94 nucleotides. RefSeq lists it as uncharacterized. The record is from RefSeq and is a predicted model, not a curated record. NCBI's taxonomy places the organism in Eukaryota, Metazoa, Chordata, Mammalia, Chiroptera, Vespertilionidae. The transcript is spliced from 2 exons.